RNAcentral lists this long non-coding RNA (1318 nucleotides) under Equus asinus (donkey). Its description in RNAcentral is "lncRNA (ENSEASG00005036819.1, ENSEASG00020026674.1)". Lineage: Eukaryota; Metazoa; Chordata; Mammalia; Perissodactyla; Equidae. The record is from RNAcentral.
GUGCUGGCUGUUGAUCACUUCUUCAGUGGCUACAGCUGUUUGGUUUGUAGAGGAGGUCACUGUGAACUGUGAUAGCUCCCACAGUGCCCCUGCUUUUCUUCCUUGCUCCUAACCAGGUCUACGUCUCUCAGCUUUGCUGGUUUGGAUGGUAUGAAACUGAAAUGAGAACUUCAUUUGCUGCCCUGGAAGGCUGGAAAAGCUGGUUGCUCGCCCCACUCUUUCUUCCUUGGUGAGGAGAACUCUUUCCAGCUGGGCAGUUCCCUCUUGUGCUGAGAAAUGCUAGCUUGGGGGAUGGGAUGAGGCAGGCAAAAUGAAGCUGUCUUCUUUCUCUUCUUGUGUGGUUAUUCUCAGGGUUUUUUGUUCUGCUGUGUUGCUGGAAUUUCUUAAGUGGGCCCCAGAGCUUUCCCAGAGCUGUUUUCGUUCGUGGAUAGCUGUCUAAGUGUUGAUCUUUGUGGGGAGACAGAGGCUGGGGUCUCCUACUUUGCCAUUUUGACCUGAGUAAAAUGUUUAUUAGAAGUGAUGACAGCAGGCAUUAUUGUCUUAUUUCUAAUCUCAGAGGGAAAGCAUUUGGCAUUUCACUAUUAACCAUCCUUGUGAGCGUGAAGUGGUAUCUCAUUGUGGUUUUGGUUUGCGCUUCCCCAACAAUUGGAUAUAGAUGACCAUCUUUCCCCAGAGCACAUUUGCCAAGAAAUUAAGUUGGAUGAUACAAGGCUUAUUUUGACUUACCCUUGAAAGUCACAAAGUACCACUUACAUUAAAUUGUAUUGGUCCAAAGCAAGCCACGAAUCCAUCCCAGAUUCAAGAGGAGGAGAUUACAAAAGAGCAUGAAUAUAAGGAGGUCUCAAACCACCACCAUUGUGUGUGCAAAGCGCCUUAUUCCCAGGAAGCCCAAAGACUGCUCCCGGUCCAGGUCUCUUGUAGUGAGCGGGUCAUAGAGACACACUACAUUUGUGGGAUCAGAUUCAACUGUCAAAGAGGAACCUGCCUGGCUCCACCAAAACCAAGUACAAAUCGCAGGAUUCCUCUUCGAUGGCUGAGUCCACAGCAUCUGCCGAAUCCUCUCUCUAUGGCUUGCCACUUGGUCCUAAGGGCUUGUUGGUCUUCACCAGAAGCAGCUUCCAAAUUGCUUCAACCUCAGAGACCAGCAAUUGUGGCCUCGUCAGCCUGCCAGAUCCUGUUGUUGCUCACCUAUGUGCAAAGCAAAGAACUUUCAAGAAGGUCAGAGAAUUCCCCGACAUCAGUUUUUGGAUUCCUUGUUCCUCCCUUGAAUGUGAAUACAGUAAAAUUGAUUAAAUAAUCCAGGAUUUUUACAUUAUAA